GCCUGAGCCCAUGGGCGGGGUGGAACCUCAGCAAGGUCUCUCUCCAUUGAGUGUUCAGGCAGAUGGUUUUCCUGCCAGGUUUUGAGGAAAGCGAACACAGAGCUGGCUUACCCACCACAAUUUCUCCAGUUUCAGGUCAAGAGAAAUAUCCCACAGAAAAAUCCCCAGAGCAGGCCCAGAGUUCGUCCCGUCACUUGACGAGUUCUACACUGUACAGACAGCAUCCUCUGGCAAAAGGGGCACCACACAUACUGAGUGGGUCUCCUGACCACUGCCAGGGCUAGCAAUGGCUUCCGUCCCACCCAACGUACACAGAGUGCGGUGAUUGGCCAGGGGAAAAUGCAGGCGGCUGCAGUGCAGACGAAAAGAGUAAGGAAAUGGGGCCCAGAUGUUCAGUGCAGUAGUGAAAGCAAAUGGGUGUUGACAUAACUCACAUACAGGAUGUAAAGUGACAAAGAACGACGCGAGCAGAGAAACUUCAGUUCUACUGGCCGGCUUAUAAAGAAAUCCAUCUGCAGAGAUCCACGGCUGAGCCCCAGGCGGAGCUCCAGGAGCCCAGUCGUCGAGAGAGAGGAGGGACUGCACGAGCGAGAGAUAUUGAG
Long non-coding RNA from Peromyscus maniculatus bairdii (prairie deer mouse), 602 nucleotides. RefSeq lists it as uncharacterized. NCBI's taxonomy places the organism in Eukaryota, Metazoa, Chordata, Mammalia, Rodentia, Cricetidae. The record is from RefSeq and is a predicted model, not a curated record.